Molecule: non-coding RNA, 169 nt
Filed under: human gut metagenome
Description: Lysine riboswitch
Rfam family: Lysine riboswitch aptamer
About the family: Riboswitches are metabolite binding domains within certain messenger RNAs that serve as precision sensors for their corresponding targets. Allosteric rearrangement of mRNA structure is mediated by ligand binding, and this results in modulation of gene expression.
Source: RNAcentral
UUUAGAUAGAGGUGCGUUUUUUAUCAUUAGCAUACGCCAUGACCGCAAGACAAAGCGGAGCGGCUUAUGUGAAAGGAAAGAACGCCGAAGCGUCGGUUUGUCACCGAAAGCUGGGCGCAGGGUUAAGAGCUUUGCGACUGUCACCGGACGCGUCCGGUGUUGAGCUAUC